GCACAGUACCUUAUAUAGUCCUUACUGCA
This 29-nucleotide small RNA is filed under the name Bombyx mori (domestic silkworm). Its description in RNAcentral is "ovarian small RNA-16294". Lineage: Eukaryota; Metazoa; Arthropoda; Insecta; Lepidoptera; Bombycidae. The record is from RNAcentral.